GGAAUCUUAGACAAUGGGGGAAACCCUGAUCUAGCCAUGCCGCGUGAUCGAUGAAGGCCUUAGGGUUGUAAAGAUCUUUCAGUUGGGAAGAUAAUGACGGUACCAACAGAAGAAGCCCCGGCUAACUCCGUGCCAGCAGCCGCGGUAAUACGGAGGGGGCUAGCGUUAUUCGGAAUUACUGGGCGUAAAGCGCACGUAGGCGGACUGGAAAGUUAGAGGUGAAAUCCCAGGGCUCAACCUUGGAACUGCCUUUAAAACUAUCAGUCUAGAGAUCGAGAGAGGUGAGUGGAAUUCCGAGUGUAGAGGUGAAAUUCGUAGAUAUUCGGAGGAACACCAAUGGCGAAGGCAGCCUCCUGGAUCAACACUGACGCUGAGGCGCGAAAGCGUGGGGAGCAAAC
This 398-nucleotide ribosomal RNA is filed under the name uncultured bacterium. RNAcentral describes it as "bacterial SSU rRNA". It matches the Rfam family "Bacterial small subunit ribosomal RNA", at positions 358 to 773 of the family's 1533-position model. The record is from RNAcentral.